UACGGAGGGGACUAGCGUUGUUCGGAAUUACUGGGCGUAAAGCGCACGUAGGCGGCUUUGUAAGUUAGAGGUGAAAGCCCAGGGCUCAACCCUGGAAUUGCCUUUAAGACUGCAUCGCUUGAACAUCGGAGAGGUAAGUGGAAUUCCGAGUGUAGAGGUGAAAUUCGUAGAUAUUCGGAAGAACACCAGUGGCGAAGGCGACUUACUGGACGAUUGUUGACGCUGAGGUGCGAAAGCGUGGGGAGCAAACAGG
This 253-nucleotide ribosomal RNA is filed under the name uncultured bacterium. Its description in RNAcentral is "partial 16S ribosomal RNA". It matches the Rfam family "Bacterial small subunit ribosomal RNA", at positions 524 to 776 of the family's 1533-position model. The record is from RNAcentral.